AACCUACGGGAGGCAGCAGUGGGGGAUAUUGCACAAUGGGGGAAACCCUGAUGCAGCGACGCCGCGUGUGGGAAGACGGUCCUCUGGAUUGUAAACCACUGUCCCCAGGGACGAAGAUGACGGUACCUGGGGAGGAAGCUCCGGCUAACUACGUGCCAGCAGCCGCGGUAAUACGUAGGGAGCGGGCGUUGUCCGGAAUUACUGGGUGUAAAGGGAGCGCAGGCGGGACUGCGUGUUUGGCGUCAAAUCUA
Molecule: ribosomal RNA, 251 nt
Filed under: uncultured bacterium
Lineage: Bacteria
Description: partial 16S ribosomal RNA
Rfam family: Bacterial small subunit ribosomal RNA
Source: RNAcentral